GACAGAGGCCUCAAGCGUUAGGCGGAAUCACUGGGCUUAAAGCGUGUGUAGGCGGAUCGUUAAGUGCCUUGUGAAAUCCCACGGCUUAACUGUGGAACUGCUUGGUAUACUGGCUGUCUUGAGCCACUUAGGGGCAACCGGAACAAACGGUGGAGCGGUGAAAUGCGUAGAUAUCGUUUGGAACGCCAAUGGUGAAAACAGGUUGCUGGGAGUGUGCUGACGCUGAGACACGAAAGCCAGGGGAGCAAACGGG
Molecule: ribosomal RNA, 253 nt
Filed under: uncultured bacterium
Lineage: Bacteria
Description: partial 16S ribosomal RNA
Rfam family: Bacterial small subunit ribosomal RNA
Source: RNAcentral